UACGGAGGGGGCGAGCGUUAUUCGGAAUUAUUGGGCGUAAAGGGCGCGUAGGCGGCUGUACAAGUCAAAGGUGAAAUCCCUCGGCUCAACUGAGGAACUGCCUUUGAAACUGUACGGCUUGAGGCCGGGAGGGGGUAGCGGAAUUCCCAGUGUAGCGGUGAAAUGCGUAGAUACUGGGAGGAACACCAGUGGCGAAGGCGGCUACCUGGACCGGUUCUGGACGCUGAGGCGCGAAAAGCGGUGGGUAGCAAACAGG
Molecule: ribosomal RNA, 256 nt
Filed under: uncultured bacterium
Lineage: Bacteria
Description: partial 16S ribosomal RNA
Rfam family: Bacterial small subunit ribosomal RNA
Source: RNAcentral